This 837-nucleotide ribosomal RNA is filed under the name uncultured Halomonas sp. RNAcentral's name for it is "bacterial SSU rRNA". It matches the Rfam family "Bacterial small subunit ribosomal RNA", at positions 37 to 871 of the family's 1533-position model. Lineage: Bacteria; Pseudomonadati; Pseudomonadota; Gammaproteobacteria; Oceanospirillales; Halomonadaceae. The record is from RNAcentral.
UGGCGGCAGGCCUAACACAUGCAAGUCGAGCGGUAACAGGGGUAGCUUGCUACCCGCUGACGAGCGGCGGACGGGUGAGUAAUGCAUAGGAAUCUGCCCGAUAGUGGGGGAUAACCUGGGGAAACCCAGGCUAAUACCGCAUACGUCCUACGGGAGAAAGGGGGCUUCGGCUCCCGCUAUUGGAUGAGCCUAUGUCGGAUUAGCUAGUUGGUGAGGUAAAGGCUCACCAAGGCAACGAUCCGUAGCUGGUCUGAGAGGAUGAUCAGCCACAUCGGGACUGAGACACGGCCCGAACUCCUACGGGAGGCAGCAGUGGGGAAUAUUGGACAAUGGGGGCAACCCUGAUCCAGCCAUGCCGCGUGUGUGAAGAAGGCCCUCGGGUUGUAAAGCACUUUCAGCGAGGAAGAACGCCUAUCGGUUAAUACCCGGUAGGAAAGACAUCACUCGCAGAAGAAGCACCGGCUAACUCCGUGCCAGCAGCCGCGGUAAUACGGAGGGUGCAAGCGUUAAUCGGAAUUACUGGGCGUAAAGCGCGCGUAGGUGGCUUGAUAAGCCGGUUGUGAAAGCCCCGGGCUCAACCUGGGAACGGCAUCCGGAACUGUCAGGCUAGAGUGCAGGAGAGGAAGGUAGAAUUCCCGGUGUAGCGGUGAAAUGCGUAGAGAUCGGGAGGAAUACCAGUGGCGAAGGCGGCCUUCUGGACUGACACUGACACUGAGGUGCGAAAGCGUGGGUAGCAAACAGGAUUAGAUACCCUGGUAGUCCACGCCGUAAACGAUGUCGACCAGCCGUUGGGUGCCUAGAGCACUUUGUGGCGAAGUUAACGCGAUAAGUCGACCG